Molecule: long non-coding RNA, 593 nt
Organism: Anguilla rostrata (American eel)
Lineage: Eukaryota; Metazoa; Chordata; Actinopteri; Anguilliformes; Anguillidae
Exons: 2
Source: RefSeq, a predicted model, not a curated record
GUUGUGGCAUAGAAGUGUGAUAAGUGGACUGAUAACACCAUAGGCAUUUGCUUAAUGGCACAGCAAAUAAGGACUUAAAAAACAGUAAUGCCUUCAGCCAGAGGGAGCAGAGAUUGCUUGUGGGACAUCACAUUUCAGUAAUCAAAGCCUGCUGUGAUACCUUCGCCCUCUUAUUAUUUACUCAUCACAAUCUCAUAGAUCUUUUCGCAACGCUCAAGGAACCCCAUCUCAUCGUUUAUCGUGUCCCUCCUGAGGUGAAUAAACGCUACCUCAAUCAACCUGCAACACCUGCGACAGAAUUAGAUCGGUUAAAUUACCGUAUCCAAUUUGCAGAUACGGAAUGCACAGUAGCGGUUCCACCAACCCAAGGCGUUCAGCAUCGUUCUUCUCCGUAGGACUGGAAUGCACUGAGGCACUCCUGACAUGUGACGCGUUGAAGGAUGCAGAGAGCAUGCGCACUGUGGAACCAAGGUGAGGAGAGAGGUGGAGAGGCUGGGUCUCAGCCUCAGAAGAAAAAUUGGCCUCAACUUCGAGAACUAAAUUAUUCAGAAAAGGACUGAUAAUUUUACCAUAUAAUUAAAAGUUAAAUUAUA